AAAUUGAAGAGUUUGAUCAUGGCUCAGAUUGAACGCUGGCGGCAGGCCUAACACAUGCAAGUCGAACGGUAACAGGAAGCAGCUUGCUGCUUUGCUGACGAGUGGCGGACGGGUGAGUAAUGUCUGGGAAACUGCCUGAUGGAGGGGGAUAACUACUGGAAACGGUGGCUAAUACCGCAUAACGUCGCAAGACCAAAGAGGGGGACCUUCGGGCCUCUUGCCAUCAGAUGUGCCCAGAUGGGAUUAGCUAGUUGGUGAGGUAACGGCUCACCAAGGCGACGAUCCCUAGCUGGUCUGAGAGGAUGACCAGCCACACUGGAACUGAGACACGGUCCAGACUCCUACGGGAGGCAGCAGUGGGGAAUAUUGCACAAUGGGCGCAAGCCUGAUGCAGCCAUGCCGCGUGUAUGAAGAAGGCCUUCGGGUUGUAAAGUACUUUCAGCGGGGAGGAAGGUGUUGUGGUUAAUAACCACAGCAAUUGACGUUACCCGCAGAAGAAGCACCGGCUAACUCCGUGCCAGCAGCCGCGGUAAUACGGAGGGUGCAAGCGUUAAUCGGAAUUACUGGGCGUAAAGCGCACGCAGGCGGUCUGUCAAGUCGGAUGUGAAAUCCCCGGGCUCAACCUGGGAACUGCAUUCGAAACUGGCAGACUUGAGUCUUGUAGAGGGGGGUAGAAUUCCAGGUGUAGCGGUGAAAUGCGUAGAGAUCUGGAGGAAUACCGGUGGCGAAGGCGGCCCCCUGGACAAAGACUGACGCUCAGGUGCGAAAGCGUGGGGAGCAAACAGGAUUAGAUACCCUGGUAGUCCACGCCGUAAACGAUGUCUACUUGGAGGUUGUGCCCUUGAGGCGUGGCUUCCGGAGCUAACGCGUUAAGUAGACCGCCUGGGGAGUACGGCCGCAAGGUUAAAACUCAAAUGAAUUGACGGGGGCCCGCACAAGCGGUGGAGCAUGUGGUUUAAUUCGAUGCAACGCGAAGAACCUUACCUGGUCUUGACAUCCACAGAACUUUCCAGAGAUGGAUUGGUGCCUUCGGGAACUGUGAGACAGGUGCUGCAUGGCUGUCGUCAGCUCGUGUUGUGAAAUGUUGGGUUAAGUCCCGCAACGAGCGCAACCCUUAUCCUUUGUUGCCAGCGGUUAGGCCGGGAACUCAAAGGAGACUGCCAGUGAUAAACUGGAGGAAGGUGGGGAUGACGUCAAGUCAUCAUGGCCCUUACGACCAGGGCUACACACGUGCUACAAUGGCGCAUACAAAGAGAAGCGACCUCGCGAGAGCAAGCGGACCUCAUAAAGUGCGUCGUAGUCCGGAUUGGAGUCUGCAACUCGACUCCAUGAAGUCGGAAUCGCUAGUAAUCGUGGAUCAGAAUGCCACGGUGAAUACGUUCCCGGGCCUUGUACACACCGCCCGUCACACCAUGGGAGUGGGUUGCAAAAGAAGUAGGUAGCUUAACCUUCGGGAGGGCGCUUACCACUUUGUGAUUCAUGACUGGGGUGAAGUCGUAACAAGGUAACCGUAGGGGAACCUGCGGUUGGAUCACCUCCUUACCUUAAAGAAGC
Molecule: ribosomal RNA, 1554 nt
Filed under: Salmonella enterica subsp. enterica serovar Heidelberg
Lineage: Bacteria; Pseudomonadati; Pseudomonadota; Gammaproteobacteria; Enterobacterales; Enterobacteriaceae
Description: bacterial SSU rRNA
Rfam family: Bacterial small subunit ribosomal RNA
Source: RNAcentral